RNAcentral lists this unclassified non-coding RNA (188 nucleotides) under uncultured Spadicoides. RNAcentral's name for it is "partial internal transcribed spacer 2". The record is from RNAcentral. Lineage: Eukaryota; Fungi; Ascomycota; Sordariomycetes; Sordariales; Helminthosphaeriaceae.
CGACCCUCGAGCCUCCCUUCGUGGCGGCUCGGUGCUGGGAUGCUACGGCGCGCUCGCUCGCGCCGUAGGUUCCGAAAUGCAGUGGCGGCCUCGCCGAGAACCCGAACGUAGUAAACCGUGCCUUUGCACAGCGUCUCGUUCAGGGUCUUCGACGGGUGCCCUGGCCAUAAAACCCCCAACUUAUUAAA